This 253-nucleotide ribosomal RNA is filed under the name uncultured bacterium. RNAcentral's name for it is "partial 16S ribosomal RNA". It matches the Rfam family "Bacterial small subunit ribosomal RNA", at positions 524 to 776 of the family's 1533-position model. The record is from RNAcentral.
UACGUAGGCAGCAAGCGUUGUUCGGAAUUACUGGGCGUAAAGAGUGUGUAGGCGGUGCUCCAAGUCUAGUGUGAAAUCUCCCGGCUCAACUGGGAGGGUGCGCUAGAAACUGGAAUGCUAGAGGAUGGGAGAGGUAAGCGGGAUUCCUGGUGUAGCGGUGAAAUGCGUAGAUAUCAGGAGGAACACCUGUGGUGUAGACAGCUUACUGGACCAUUUCUGACGCUGAGACACGAAAGCGUGGGUAGCAAACAGG